This 506-nucleotide ribosomal RNA is filed under the name uncultured bacterium. Its description in RNAcentral is "partial 16S ribosomal RNA". It matches the Rfam family "Bacterial small subunit ribosomal RNA", at positions 29 to 523 of the family's 1533-position model. The record is from RNAcentral.
AGUGAACGCUGGCGGUAGGCCUAACACAUGCAAGUCGAACGGCAGCACAGAGGAGCUUGCUCCUUGGGUGGCGAGUGGCGGACGGGUGAGGAAUACAUCGGAAUCUACUCUGUCGGGGGGGAUAACGUAGGGAAACUUACGCGAAUACCGCACACGACCUACGGGUGAAAGCAGGGGAUCUUCGGACCUACCGCGAUUGAAUGCGCCGAUGUAGGAUUAGCUAGUUGGGGGGGUAAAGGCCCACCAAGGCGACGAUCCGUAGCUGGUCUGAGAGGAUGAUCAGCCACACUGGAACUGAGACACGGUCCAGACUCCUACGGGAGGCAGCAGUGGGGAAUAUUGGACAAUGGGCGCAAGCCUGAUCCAGCCAUACCGCGUGGGUGAAGAAGGCCUUCGGGUUGUAAAGCCCUUUUGUUGGGAAAGAAAUCCAUCUGGUUAAUACCCGGGUGGGAUGACGGUACCCAAAGAAUAAGCACCGGCUAACUUCGUGCCAGCCGCCGCAGUAA